GAGGGUAGAGCUCAGUGGUAGAGUGCGUGCUUAGCAUGCACAAGGUCCUGGGUUCAGUCACCAGUACCUCCA
RNAcentral lists this transfer RNA (72 nucleotides) under Camelus ferus (Wild Bactrian camel). It matches the Rfam family "tRNA". From Rfam's summary of the family: Transfer RNA (tRNA) molecules are approximately 80 nucleotides in length. Lineage: Eukaryota; Metazoa; Chordata; Mammalia; Artiodactyla; Camelidae. The record is from Rfam by way of RNAcentral.